Non-coding RNA from Malus domestica (apple), 2328 nucleotides. Lineage: Eukaryota; Viridiplantae; Streptophyta; Magnoliopsida; Rosales; Rosaceae. The record is from RefSeq and is a predicted model, not a curated record.
AAGAUACAAGUAUCAGAUGUCUUCGAUAUUUCAAGCUAUAAUUUGUUUUCAUAGUACUUAAUAUAUCAAAAUGUUGGAAGAUCCUAAAAUACAAGAACUUACAUUGAAGUCUAUAACUUAGGCAUCAAGGUACUCACCCAAAAACAAUAAUUUUAUGUGUGUUUGACAUGGAUACAUACGUGACAGAGCAUUUGAACCACACCGUUGGGCAGCUCCAGGGCAGCGGUCUAGAGUCCCUAAUCCGUGUAAAUGCGGAGUCGACACCUCAGAAGUGCCUUUGGACAGCAGAUUGCAAACUGUAGAACUGGUAAAGGUCGAAAAAUUCUGCGACAGAGGUCGCAGAUGGAUGAACUCGAAGACCAUAGCGAAUAAUGUUGAGGCCCUCAUAGGAGCCUACUAUGUUGGCGAAGGAUUGUUUGCUGCACUACAUGUGAUGAAUUGGCUUGGUAUAGGUUCUAAAUUUGAACCCACAUAAGCCACUGAAGCCAUUACGAGGGCAUCCCUCCGAUCCUACUGCCCAAAAAAUGAUGAAAUUGCUGUCCUGGAGAAGAAGCUUGGGUACCAAUCUUCGGUGAACCUCUGAGCAAAAACUAGAGGCUUGAGUUUCUUGGCGACUCGGUGUUGGAUGUGCUAUCCGGGACAGUUGACAGACUUGCAAUCAGCUGCUGUUUGUAAUGAAAACUUUACCGGAGCUGCUGCGAGAAAAUGCCUUCACCAGCAUCUUCAACAUUGCUCCGGGUUACUUCUGAGUCAUAUCACAAGAGUAUGAGAAGUUGUGUACUGCUGAAGCUCUGAACACCACCAUCCUACUCGAAGACCCGAAAGUUCUUGGGGACAUGGUGGAAAGCAUAGCAGGGGCAAUAAACAUGGACAGCAAUCUCGACCUUAACAAAGUAUGGAGGGUGUUUAAAUAACUAUUAUCUCCGAUCGUGACCCCUUCCACUCUGCAAUUACACCCGCUGCGUGAAUCGAGCAAGUUAUGUGGUUCUAUUGGGUACUUUGUGAAAGAAACUUGUAAUAAAGAGGAUUCAAUGGAGCAUGUGGAAAUGACUUUGCAGCUGGAAGAUGGUCUUUUGGUUGGGAGCAGGUACAAUCGGAGCAGCAAAGCUGCUAAACAGCAAGAAGCUCGUCAACUUUCGAAGGAGCUCCAGGGUUGCCGUUCCUUGUCUAAAAGGAGAAAACUUGAUUCCGACCACAUAGAUGAGCUAUCUUCCGAAGUCAUGCAGAUUGAACCCUGCAGCCAACUGACUGAUGUUGUUCAUUCUUCAGAGCCAAUCAGUCGAAUCGAAUCAUCAUCUGCAGAGUCGAGAACAAGUCCUGCCCCGACCAAUUUUGAUUCCAACCAAGUCUACAGUCACAACACUGCAUCCCCAAUUUGCCUGCUAUGGCUUCGAUCAGCACGAGGAAAGGAGAAGCUCGGAUUUCUCUCUUUGAGCCGUGUAAGGUAAUGCAGUGGCCGAUGCCUACAUUCAAAAUAACAAAGCAAAAAUCGAGGUGAUUCGAAUCAACCAAACUGCACUUAAGUGUUCUCUUUUCCUAGGGGCUAACUAACUAGUGUCAUCCUAGUGCAGAACUCCGAUUGAAUUCGGAGAGGGCUCUGAAAAGAGAAUGGGUUCAACAGCUACGCAUGGGAAUUAAGUUUGCAGACACCAAACUUUGGGACUGUUGUAUGCAGAGGAGAUCCUAGAGCUGAUAAUAAGAGUUCAUAUGACUCUGCAGUAGUUGCCCCUUACAAGCUUCAACGACAGUGAAAACUUACAAUUGGGUGCUCUUGAGGGGUGAGCAUUGGCUGGGUUGGUUGGGUUGGACUCUUCAGCCCGUUGGCCAACCCAAUAGGUUUGGGUUGACAUUAUUAAAAUCCAUUUUCACCCAAGAAAAUAGGCAAACCAACCCACUCAAACCAUUUUAUGGCGGGUUGAUAGUUCUGUGGGUUGGAAUUAUUACUUUGUUUCUUAUACUUUAAGUGUAUAUGAACGACAAAUAAUCCAAAAUAGAUGUCUUAGUAGGCUUAAAUCAUGUGAAUUUUGUGUUGUAGGAUCAUUAUUUGGUACUUGAUACUUAAAUUGCAUCAUUUUGACUGAAGUAUAAAUAAACAAGUGUGCUUAAGAAUUGACCAUCUUUAGUACAUGUAUGUUUAAGAAUUGUUCGAUAUUCGGGGCGGAUCAAUUUCAAUCAGGUUAAUAAUAAUACUUCAACCUAACCAACCUGUUCAACGAGUGGUCAGAUUUGUACCCGAAAAUAAAUGUUUAAAACCCAACCCUCAGUUGUGUUGGUCGGUAAACUCACUAAAGCGCCCACCCCUAGAUAGUUAGCAAAUAAUGUACAGAA